GGUCGCUUAGCUCAGCCGGGAGAGCACCUCCCUUACAAGGAGGGGGUCACUGGUUCGAUCCCAGUAGCGACCA
Shewanella amazonensis SB2B is the source of this 73-nucleotide transfer RNA. It matches the Rfam family "tRNA". Rfam says of the family: Transfer RNA (tRNA) molecules are approximately 80 nucleotides in length. Their secondary structure includes four short double-helical elements and three loops (D, anti-codon, and T loops). NCBI's taxonomy places the organism in Bacteria, Pseudomonadati, Pseudomonadota, Gammaproteobacteria, Alteromonadales, Shewanellaceae. The record is from Rfam.